This 441-nucleotide ribosomal RNA is filed under the name uncultured Alphaproteobacteria bacterium. Its description in RNAcentral is "bacterial SSU rRNA". It matches the Rfam family "Bacterial small subunit ribosomal RNA", at positions 29 to 505 of the family's 1533-position model. The record is from RNAcentral. Lineage: Bacteria; Pseudomonadati; Pseudomonadota; Alphaproteobacteria.
AAUGAACGCUGGUGGCAGGCUUAACACAUGCAAGUCGAGCGUGAAGCAACCUUCGGGUUGUGGAAAGCGGCAAACGGGUGAGUAACAUGUGGGAACGUACCUUGCAGUUUGGGAUAGCCUUUAGAAAUGAAGAUUAAUACCAAAUAUUCUCUACGGAGGAAAGAUUUAUCGCUGCAAGAUCGGCCCGCACUAGAUUAGUUUGUUGGUGGGGUAAUUGCCUACCAAGGCUACGAUCUAUAGCUGGUUUGAGAGGAUGAUCAGCCACACUGGGACUGAGAUACGGCCCAGACUCCUACGGGAGGCAGCAGUGAGGAAUAUUGCACAAUGGGGGAAACCCUGAUGCAGCCAUGCCACGUGUGUGAUGAAGGCCUUCUGGUUGUAAAACACUUUUAUUAGUGAAGAUAUUGACAUUAGCUAAAGAAAAAGCUCCGGCUAACUUCG